This 574-nucleotide long non-coding RNA is filed under the name Brassica rapa (field mustard). RNAcentral's name for it is "long non-coding RNA (BRAP_LNC000579)". Lineage: Eukaryota; Viridiplantae; Streptophyta; Magnoliopsida; Brassicales; Brassicaceae. The record is from RNAcentral.
AAAUGGAGCUUUUGAAGCUCCAUAGAGCGUCCACAUCAGCAAAAAAACUUCUCCCGAAAGAUGACACGUGGCAUAAAAUAUAGUUUUACAUUUUAAUAUUACCAAUUUUCAAAAAUUAUAAAUAAUAUGUAAACAUACAGCAUAAAAAUAGAAAAACUAUAUUAAAAAUAUGUAAGAUUACCAUCUUUCACUUAAAAAAAGACGGCUUAUCUUCAUAAUGUAAUAAUACCGUUUUAUAAAAAAAAACAAAAAACAUUAUAUAUAAUUUUGAAAAUAAUAAAUAUAUGUAAAAAUACAACAUAAAAAAUGGAAAUACUACAUCAAACAUAUGUAAGAUUACCAUUUUACAUUUUUAUUUAAAAAAAUAAUAUGUAAACAUACAACAUAAAAAUGGAAAAACUACAUUAAACAUAUGUAAGAUUACCAUUUUUCACUAAAAAAAAGACGGUUUAUCUCCAUAAUGUAACAUUACUAUUUUGUAAAAAAAAACAUUAUAUAUAUAAUUUAGAAAAUAAUAAAUAAUAUGUAAACAUACAACAUAAAAAAUGGAAAUACUACAUUAAGCAUAUGUAAG